AACUUUCAACAACGGAUCUCUUGGUUCUGGCAUCGAUGAAGAACGCAGCGAAAUGCGAUAAGUAAUGUGAAUUGCAGAAUUCAGUGAAUCAUCGAAUCUUUGAACGCACAUUGCGCCCCUUGGUAUUCCGGGGGGCAUGCCUGUUCGAGCGUCAUUACAACCCUCAAGCUCUGCUUGGUGUUGGGCGUCCCCGG
This 194-nucleotide ribosomal RNA is filed under the name Neofabraea malicorticis. RNAcentral's name for it is "5.8S ribosomal RNA". The stretch from base 1 to 154 matches the Rfam family "5.8S ribosomal RNA". From Rfam's summary of the family: 5.8S ribosomal RNA (5.8S rRNA) is a component of the large subunit of the eukaryotic ribosome. It is transcribed by RNA polymerase I as part of the 45S precursor that also contains 18S and 28S rRNA. The record is from RNAcentral. Lineage: Eukaryota; Fungi; Ascomycota; Leotiomycetes; Helotiales; Dermateaceae.